AACUGCUCAGAGGCAAACGGGUGGGCCCUCGAAAUCCCGCUGCCGGGGGAUUCAGUCGGAAGGUGCGGUGCGUGGAGUGAGCGUCCGACGGGCGUCUCCCGUGGUGCUGAUGCUCCGCCCGUGCUGCCCGACGCACUUCCUCCGGCACAGAGGACGCCGCAGCCGGUCGGGUAGAAGCGAGAGUCGGCCAUGAGGAACGUCGACGGCAGUUAGCGGAGGGCGCGCCUUGCGCGUCGCCUUCCGUCGCUAGCCGGGCGAUCCGAGGCGCGACACCCGACCGAGGAGAAGGGAACCCGCGAGGGUUCUUGCCGUGCACUCGCAACGCAGUUGCGAGCGGCGGACGGGGCAGGAGAACGAUGCUCGGACGGAACCACCCCACGCUUGGUGGCUCGUCUUGGAGUCGCUCCGUUAGCCCUGCGAGACCGCGACGCGAGCGCAGACGGCUGGCGGCGAGUAGGUCGGUCACCCACCCGACCCGUCUUGAAACACGGACCAAGGAGUCUAACAUGUGCGCGAGUCACGGGGUCUUGAACAGGCCCACGGGCGCAAUGAAAGUGAAGGUGACGGCCCCUGCGGGGGCAGUCGUCCUAGUUGGGAUCCCCGGUCGCACGGCCGGGGCGCACCGACGACCCGCGUCGUCCGAUUUAUCGGAGGCGUGGAGUCUGAGCGUACACGUUGGGACCCGAAAGAUGGUGAGCUAUGCCCGGGCAGGACGAAGUCAGAGGAAACUCUGGUGGAGGU
This 741-nucleotide ribosomal RNA is filed under the name Spermophora estebani. RNAcentral's name for it is "partial 28S ribosomal RNA". The stretch from base 492 to 741 matches the Rfam family "Eukaryotic large subunit ribosomal RNA", at positions 665 to 874 of the family's 3401-position model. The record is from RNAcentral. Lineage: Eukaryota; Metazoa; Arthropoda; Arachnida; Araneae; Pholcidae.